This 429-nucleotide ribosomal RNA is filed under the name uncultured bacterium. RNAcentral describes it as "bacterial SSU rRNA". It matches the Rfam family "Bacterial small subunit ribosomal RNA", at positions 355 to 776 of the family's 1533-position model. The record is from RNAcentral.
UGGGGAAUAUUGCACAAUGGGCGCAAGCCUGAUGCAGCCAUGCCGCGUGUAUGAAGAAGGCCUUCGGGUUGUAAAGUACUUUCAGCAGUGAGGAAGGGUGUGUAGUUAAUAGCUGCAUACUUUGACGUUAGCUGCAGAAGAAGCACCGGCUAACUCCGUGCCAGCAGCCGCGGUAAUACGGAGGGUGCGAGCGUUAAUCGGAAUUACUGGGCGUAAAGCGCAUGCAGGUGGUUUGUUAAGUCAGAUGUGAAAGCCCGGGGCUCAACCUCGGAACCGCAUUUGAAACUGGCAGGCUAGAGUACUGUAGAGGGGGGUAGAAUUUCAGGUGUAGCGGUGAAAUGCGUAGAGAUCUGAAGGAAUACCAGUGGCGAAGGCGGCCCCCUGGACAGAUACUGACACUCAGAUGCGAAAGCGUGGGGAGCAAACAGG